UUGGUUAAGUUAGAAAGGGCGCACGGUGGAUGCCUUGGCACUAGGAGCCGAAGAAGGACGGGACUAACACCGAUAUGCUUUGGGGAGCUGUACGUAAGCGUUGAUCCAGAGAUUUCCGAAUGGGGGAACCCACUAUCUUUAGUCGGAUAGUAUCCUUACGUGAAUACAUAGCGUGAGGAAGGCAGACCCAGGGAACUGAAACAUCUAAGUACCUGGAGGAAGAGAAAGAAAAAUCGAUUUCCUGAGUAGCGGCGAGCGAAACGGAAAGAGCCCAAACCAAGAAGCUUGCUUCUUGGGGUUGUAGGACACUCUAUACGGAGUUACAAAAGAAAGUUAUAAAUGAAGCGGUCUGGAAAGGCCCGCCAAAGACGGUAACAGCCCGGUAGUUGAAAUAGCUUUCCCUCCAGAGUGGAUCCUGAGUACGGCGGAACACGUGAAAUUCCGUCGGAAUCCGGGAGGACCAUCUCCCAAGGCUAAAUACUCCCUAGUGACCGAUAGUGAACCAGUACCGUGAGGGAAAGGUGAAAAGCACCCCGGAAGGGGAGUGAAACAGUUCCUGAAACCGUGUGCCUACAAGUAGUUAGAGCCCGUUAAUGGGUGAUAGCGUGCCUUUUGUAGAAUGAACCGGCGAGUUACGAUUUGUUGCAAGGUUAAGCGGAAAAAGCGGAGCCGUAGCGAAAGCGAGUCUGAAUAGGGCGCAUAAGUAACAGGUCGUAGACCCGAAACCAGGUGAUCUACCCAUGUCCAGGAUGAAGGUAAGGUAAUACUUACUGGAGGUCCGAACCCACGCACGUUGAAAAGUGCGGGGAUGAGGUGUGGGUAGCGGAGAAAUUCCAAUCGAACUUGGAGAUAGCUGGUUCUCUCCGAAAUAGCUUUAGGGCUAGCCUCGAGGUAAAGAGUCAUGGAGGUAGAGCACUGUUUGGACUAGGGGCCCUUCUCGGGUUACCGAAUUCAGAUAAACUCCGAAUGCCAUGUACUUAUACUCGGGAGUCAGACUGCGAGUGAUAAGAUCCGUAGUCGAAAGGGAAACAGCCCAGACCACCAGUUAAGGUCCCCAAAUAUAUGUUAAGUGGAAAAGGAUGUGGGGUUGCUUAGACAACCAGGAUGUUGGCUUAGAAGCAGCCACCAUUGAAAGAGUGCGUAAUAGCUCACUGGUCGAGUGACCCCGCGCCGAAAAUGUACCGGGGCUAAACAUAUUACCGAAACUGUGGAUGAACCUCUUUGGAGGUUCGUGGUAGGAGAGCGUUCUAAGGGCGGUGAAGUCAGACCGGAAGGACUGGUGGAGCGCUUAGAAGUGAGAAUGCCGGUAUGAGUAGCGAAAGAAGGGUGAGAAUCCCUUCCACCGAAUAUCUAAGGUUUCCUGAGGAAGGCUCGUCCGCUCAGGGUUAGUCGGGACCUAAGCCGAGGCCGAUAGGCGUAGGCGAUGGACAACAGGUAGAGAUUCCUGUACCAGUGCUAAUUGUUUAACCGAUGGGGUGACACAGAAGGAUAGGGAAUCGCACGAAUGGAAAUGUGCGUCCAAGCAGUGAGUGUGAGAAGUAGGCAAAUCCGCUUCUCG
RNAcentral lists this ribosomal RNA (1558 nucleotides) under Listeria welshimeri. RNAcentral's name for it is "partial 23S ribosomal RNA". It matches the Rfam family "Bacterial large subunit ribosomal RNA", at positions 1 to 1551 of the family's 2925-position model. Lineage: Bacteria; Bacillati; Bacillota; Bacilli; Caryophanales; Listeriaceae. The record is from RNAcentral.